UGUUGAAUUUUGGACAAUGGGCGCAAGCCUGAUCCAGCCAUGCCGCGUGCAGGAAGAAGCAUCUAUGGUGUGUAAACUGCUUUUGUACGGGAAGAAACACUCCUUCGUGAAGGAGCUUGACGGUACCGUAAGAAUAAGGAUCGGCUAACUCCGUGCCAGCAGCCGCGGUAAUACGGAGGAUCCAAGCGUUAUCCGGAAUCAUUGGGUUUAAAGGGUCCGUAGGCGGUUUAGUAAGUCAGUGGUGAAAGCCCAUCGCUCAACGAUGGAACGGCCAUUGAUACUGCUAGACUUGAAUUAUUAGGAAGUAACUAGAAUAUGUAGUGUAGCGGUGAAAUGCUGAGAUAUUACAUGGAAUACCAAUUGCGAAGGCAGGUUACUACUAAUGGAUUGACGCUGAUGGACGAAAGCGUGGGGAGUGAACA
Molecule: ribosomal RNA, 422 nt
Filed under: uncultured bacterium
Lineage: Bacteria
Description: bacterial SSU rRNA
Rfam family: Bacterial small subunit ribosomal RNA
Source: RNAcentral